AUGGCUCAGAACGAACGCUGGCGGCAUGCCUAAGACAUGCCAGUCCAACGAGACCUUCGGGUUCUAGUGGCGCACGGGUGCGUAACGCGUGGGAAUCUGCCCUUUGGUUCGGAAUAACACUUUGAAAUUGGUGCUAAUACCGGAUGAUGACGAAAGUCCAAAGAUUUAUCGCCUUUGGAUGAGCCCGCGUAGGAUUAGCUAGUUGGUGGGGUAAAGGCCUACCAAGGCGACGAUCCUUAGCUGGUCUUAGAGGAUGAUCAGCCACACUGGGACUGAGACACGGCCCAGACUCCUACGGGAGGCAGCAGUGGGGAAUAUUGGACAAUGGGCGAAAGCCCGAUCCAGCAAUGCCGCGUGAGUGAAGAAGGCCUUUGGGUUGUUAAGCUCUUUUACCGGGGAAGAUAAUGACUGUACCGGGAGAAUAAGCCCCGGCUAACUCCGUGCCAGCAGCCGCGGUAAU
This 460-nucleotide ribosomal RNA is filed under the name uncultured Sphingomonas sp. RNAcentral describes it as "bacterial SSU rRNA". It matches the Rfam family "Bacterial small subunit ribosomal RNA", at positions 19 to 524 of the family's 1533-position model. The record is from RNAcentral. Lineage: Bacteria; Pseudomonadati; Pseudomonadota; Alphaproteobacteria; Sphingomonadales; Sphingomonadaceae.